Molecule: ribosomal RNA, 553 nt
Filed under: uncultured archaeon
Lineage: Archaea
Description: bacterial SSU rRNA
Rfam family: Archaeal small subunit ribosomal RNA
Source: RNAcentral
CGGGGUGCAGCAGGCGCGAAAACUUUACAAUGCAGGCAACUGCGAUAAGGGAACAUCGAGUGGCAUUCAUAAUGGGUGUCUGUCCACCCGUCUAAAAAACGGGUGUUAGUAAGGGCCGGGCAAGACCGGUGCCAGCCGCCGCGGUAAUACCGGCGGCUCGAGUGGUGGCCGAUAUUAUUGAGUCUAAAGGGUCCGUAGCCGGCUUUGCAAGUCUUUUGGGAAAUCCAGCGGCUUAACCGUUGGGCGGCCAUGAGAUACUACAUUGCUUGGGACUGGGAGAGGUAGGAGGUACUCAAGGGGUAGGAGUGAAAUCCUGUAAUCCUUUGGGGACCACCGGUGGCGAAGGCGUCCUACCAGAACAGGUCCGACGGUGAGGGACGAAAGCUAGGGGCACGAACCGGAUUAGAUACCCGGGUAGUCCUAGCCGUAAACGAUGCUCGCUAGGUGUCACGGCAGUCGUGAACUGCCGUGGUGCCGUAGGGAAGCCGUGAAGCGAGCCACUUGGGAAGUACGACCGCAAGGUUGAAACUUAAAGGAAUUGGCGGGGGAGCAC